UCUAAUGAUCCAAAAAUGUAUGUAAGUUCACAAUCUAAUUAGAGUAAUUUUCAUUUGCCAGAAGCUGUACUCUUGCAACAUCAUCACAUAUUGUCGAGUAUCUUCACACAUGCCACAUAAUGUACUUGAUCAAGGUGAUUCUCCUGCUUGUGAUGUGUUCACUUUGUGCGGCUAUCUACCCAUGUCAUGGUUGGUACUUUUCUCCGAAAUUUAACAAAGAUAAAGGCUUUGGCAUGAAAGGUCAUAGAUGCAUCUCGUGCGUUCAUUUGUUAAACGGCAAUAAAUUCUACUUUAAAUGUUGGGAUGACCUAAAGUGUGACAAAACCCUCAUAUCUGGCACAUCGUAUAGAACUUUUUGUUAUUAAUUAGCCGUAAACAUGUCUGACAUAUACAAUAAACAAUAUGUCGGAGA
Macrosteles quadrilineatus (aster leafhopper) is the source of this 412-nucleotide long non-coding RNA. RefSeq lists it as uncharacterized. Lineage: Eukaryota; Metazoa; Arthropoda; Insecta; Hemiptera; Cicadellidae. The transcript is spliced from 2 exons. The record is from RefSeq and is a predicted model, not a curated record.